UACAGAGGGGGCAAGCGUUAUUCGGAAUUAUUGGGCGUAAAGGGCGCGUAGGCGGCCUGGCAAGUGGAAGGUGAAAUCCCUCGGCUUAACCGAGGAACUGCCCUCCAAACUGCUUGGCUUGAGUCCGGGAGAGGUGAGUGGAAUUCCCAGUGUAGCGGUGAAAUGCGUAGAUAUCGGGAGGAACACCUGUGGCGAAAGCGGCUCACUGGACCACAACUGACGCUGAUGCGCGAAAGCUAGGGGAGCAAACAGG
RNAcentral lists this ribosomal RNA (253 nucleotides) under uncultured bacterium. RNAcentral's name for it is "partial 16S ribosomal RNA". It matches the Rfam family "Bacterial small subunit ribosomal RNA", at positions 524 to 776 of the family's 1533-position model. The record is from RNAcentral.